Molecule: transfer RNA, 76 nt
Filed under: Calothrix sp. 336/3
Lineage: Bacteria; Bacillati; Cyanobacteriota; Cyanophyceae; Nostocales; Calotrichaceae
Description: tRNA-Gly
Rfam family: tRNA
About the family: Transfer RNA (tRNA) molecules are approximately 80 nucleotides in length.
Source: RNAcentral
CAAAAGUUAGCUCAUUUGGUAGAGCAAUCGACUUCCAAUCGAUCUGUAACAGGUUCAAAUCCUGUACUUUUAACCA